Cyanistes caeruleus (blue tit) is the source of this 4308-nucleotide non-coding RNA. The record is from RefSeq and is a predicted model, not a curated record. NCBI's taxonomy places the organism in Eukaryota, Metazoa, Chordata, Aves, Passeriformes, Paridae.
AAAUAUCGCGAGGUUUCCUGUCAGAGCGGCGCGGGAUGCGGUGGGAGCUAUGCGGCGGGCCUGGGCCACUUCUGCCCGGUCACUGUAGAGAGCAACAAAAUCACACUGGGCCUCCUUUUCUCCAGGCUAAACAGUUCCAGCUCCUUAAACUGUUCAUCACAACUUGUGCUCAAGACCCUUCACCAGCUCCAGUAAUUUUUCAGGCACACUCCAGCUCUUCAAUGGCCUUCCUGUCAUAAGGGGCGCAGAACUGGACAACACAGAAUUCAAGGUGCAGCCUUGCCAGUGCCAAGUGUAGGGGCCUAAUCACUGCCCUGGUCCUGCUGGCCAUACUAUUGCUGAUGCCUUCUUGGUCACCUGAGCACACUGCUGGGUCAUGUUCAGCAUCCCCAGACCCUUUUCCACUGGGUAGCUUCCCAGACACUCUGCCCAAGCCAAUAGUCCUGCAUGGGGUUGUUGUGACCGAGGACAGGACACAGCAAGUGGCCUUGUUGAGCUUUAAUCCAUCAAUCCAGCCUGUCCAAACCCCUCUGCUGAGUUUUCUGACUCUCCAGCAGAUAACACUCCCACCCAACUUGGUGUCAUCUGCAAACUGAUUGAAAGAUCAGAUCCCAUUAUCCGGAUUAUCGAUAAAGAUAUUAAACACAUAUGGCCCCAGCACUGGGCCUUUAGUGAACACCACUUGGGACUGACCACCAGCUGGAUAUGUCCCCAUCCACCACCACUAUCUGGGCCUGGCCAUCCAGCAAGUUUUUAACACAGCAACCAGCACCCCCAAUCCAAGCUGCGAGCAGCCAGUUUCUCCAGGAAAAUGCUGAGGGAGAUGCUGUUGAAGGCUUUACUGAAGUCCAAGCAGACAACACCCAAAGCCCUUCUCAUCCACUAAGUGGGCCACCUUGUCUUAGAAGGAGAUCACGUUGGUCAAGCAGGACCUGCCUUUCAUAAACCCGUGCUGGCUAAGCCUGAUACCCUGGCUGUCCUGUAUGUGCCAUGUGAUAGUGCUCCAGAAAAUCUGCUCCAUAACCUUCCCCAGCACCAAGAUGAAGCUUACAGGCCUGAGUGCCUCUCCCAAAGUUUCUUGCAGUUGGGCUAACUUCAAAGAAAGUUCAAGUGCUUAAGGUGCAGGAACUAAACUUUGAAAAGUGUUUUCUAAUCACAUUGCAAACCUGUAUCUUACAAAAAGGUUUUUUCUAAUGUUUGAGUAAUAUAAACCAUUUCAGUGAACUUAGAUGAAGACAGAGUUUAUGAUCUUACUUUAGAGUUUGUUUGGGUUUUUUUACCUUGCCUUCCUUUUCACCCCUUUUUCUUCUGAAACAAACACAAGAAAUCACUUUCUGGUACAAGAAGCCACAAGGCUGACAGAUAUACCAAUGCAUAUUUACUGACUCACAAAAUUAUUUAUGUCCAGACUUCCUACAGAUGGAGCUAUAAUGCAGUUUGUAAGGACUCGAUUACUUUUACAGAAAAGGAAGGGAUGGCAUCUUUGCAAAUGGGCUUCUUGUUUAGAUGCCUUACAUUGUGUUUCAAAUUUACUUGUCUUUUCAAGAGUAUUUUUCAGAAAAGGUUAAUUUAAAAGGUACUGGUCUGCUAGGUUGAGUUUUAUACAAAAAACCCUCCAAACUUCUGAGAUAACUGGGCUUCAUUUUCUAACUAUUUAAUGCUAAUAGAUUUAACUUAUUCUUCUUUAAAUCCUUUCUUCAGCAUGGGGGUUAAUCCAGAAGGAAAAAAAAACACAAAGAGGGUAUUUGAAGAAAACAAUACUUUCUUGCUGUAUCAUUCUGCUCUUGUUGCAUGUUUUCUGCCAUUUUGCUUUGCUGUCAUCUGCUGUAUUGUAGAUUUUUGGGACCAAAGCCACAUCCUCCAUAUGUGGGGUUAAAUGGAUAACAUUCUUUGGCCUUUGUUUUAGAAAAAGGAUGAAUUGCUGCAAUUUGAUUUUUCAUGGAGUCAUCCAGGGAGUUGGAGAGACAUCUUAAACGGUCUCUUUCAGACUCUUCAGAUGCUUUUUCACGAAGUAUUCUUGUAUUUGGAUCUUCUAUUGUGCCAUUUAUGUAGCAGAUAGGGAGUAAGAAAGUGCCUGCUCUGGCACCAUGGACAGAGGUCCCCUAUGAAAUGGCCAGAGUAGUGGACAGUAUAUUCCUGGCAAAACUUUGUCAUGUGUGCAACUAAAAUAUUUCAAAUAUUUCAAAUAUUUCAUUAGAUUAGCAGAAUUAACUGCAUUAGCAGAUUUUGGAUGUGGAUAAUUCUUCACUCAAUACUAGGCAGAGCCUACAAUACCUUUUCUCUGAAAUAUCUGUUGUUUGGAGGAGUUUGGAGGCUGAAAGAUUUGACAGUUGUAUUCCAUUCCACAUGGUCUGACAGCAAUAGCAAAGGCCAUGACAAAUCAGUGGUCUAAUCUUAUAGUAUACACUGACAGGCUGCUCUUUAGUAGUGGUCUUUUGACCUCCAAAACACCUUUUUUAAAAUACUUGAAGCGUUUUCCUUUGUUUAUAUCUAAGAAAUACAUAAAGCUCUAGCCCUAGGGGAAUACAAUCCAGUUAAAAGGACUGUGGCGUGUUGGGACUUCCAUUUCUAUUUUCAUCAUGAGAAAUAGAUUGAAUAUGGAAGAUGUUUUCUGUCUGCAAAGGGUAUUAUACUUCAAACAUAACUUUUGAAAUUUCAGCACUACAUUCUUAUCAGCCAUUCUGACUAGUCAGAAAAACCCAAAAACCAAGAAUGAGGGGGCUGUGUGAUGUAUGCGUCCUAAAAGUGUUCUUGUCAUUUAUUUAAUGUUCAAGAGGUUGUCACACAUAUAUUGCUUCAGGAUCCUUGCUGAUACACUGGGACUUCUUGGUCAUGUAGAGUCCUACACCAGCCACACCUGCAAAACUUAGCAAGUGGAUUCUCAAGACUAGGUUGAGAUGAGGUGUUCCUCAGGCCUGAAACAAACAACUGCAGCCUGACAGAGUGCUGCAUGCCAAGCCUUUUUGUCUAUGAAGAAAUUAUUGAAAAUUAUGAAUGAAACACACGGUCUGCCUUUGCUUCCCCUGGCUGCCUGAGGCAUUGUCAUUUAUCAUUUCAGAGUUGUACCUUUCAAACUCAUAGGAAGGCCCCACAGUUCAUAUCUGAAUACCUGCAGGAAAUGCAUUCAUGACUAAGUUCCUACAACAGUGGAUGCAUGCUGUGUAAAGAGAGGAUAUUUAAACUGGGUAACACAACAGUUGAAACCCGAGGAGCAGGUUGCAUGUGGCUUCUGUGUAUUCUGUACACUUCUUCUUGCUUUGUCUGGGGACAAGGGCUACAGCCUUCAUCAGGACAGUACUAUGUGAGUAAUCUCAUAUGGGCACAUCUUGUGAAGUUUACACUAUGUAUAAACUGAAUUGAAAGGUGAGUAUUCUGUAAAAGCGCACUGCCACAAAAGUCAGAAUACAGAGAAAGAUGUGCUAGGCCAUAUUCAGCUCCAAAGAUUAAUUAGUUCUCUCCUUAGGGGAUCCCUAAGGAUCCCUAAGUAUCCCUCUAAAACUUAGCACAUAAUUGGUCCCAAAAUCUACUGAAUAAUUUGUUCACUGUUUAGCUAGAUAAAUCUAAAAUGAUUUCUAUAAUAAUUUAUCCAAUUUACCACAGUCUAGCUAUCACUUUAGUCAGUUCUAGCCGCUGUAGUUUUUUGUGUCUCAACUCACGUUUUGUUCCCUAAAGUAUUUUGGUCUAACAACCUCAUCUCUAUGCAUAUGGGUCCUAGACUAGUAGGCUUGAAGCUGAUCUGUGGUAUUAAAAUACAAAAUUAAAAGCAGCCUGAGAAGGUCUGGUAAUUGAUAACAUUUGUUAUCCGCAUUGUUCCACUUCCUUAUGGCUUCCUUAGUAACUGAGGAUUCUUAUAAGAAGGUUAUUGGAAGUCCUAAGGCUAUGUCCUACUGAUCUCAGGCAUGUUUCUUUGUCAGGUUCUAGACCUGAAAUUUAUACACAGUACUGCCUUGACUGUAGAAGUUUAUAGAGGUGUGCAUUCAAGAAUUACAAAUCAAGAUUUGUUUUCAGAUUUAAAGUUCAGUCAUAUAGUUUUGUUAGGGGUUAGGUGUCCUUCUUCUAGUUCCUUUAGUUACCUGUGGAAUUUUUACCCAUUAGUUGCGAGGAAAAUCUAACUGUGGGUAUUUGGAGGAUACUUGAAGAACACAAAGAGUUUGGCAGGGUCCAGGGGGGGAAGGGGGGCAGGAAAAAAAAAGGGCGGGGACAGUUUGGCGGGCUUUCUUCAUCUUCAGAUAAGGACACUUUGGGCACAGAGCUGCUGCGGUGGAGAGAAGAGAAUUUGCCAUCACCCAGACGGAGCUGCUGCUUCUU